Molecule: RNase P RNA, 384 nt
Filed under: Megalodesulfovibrio gigas DSM 1382 = ATCC 19364
Lineage: Bacteria; Pseudomonadati; Thermodesulfobacteriota; Desulfovibrionia; Desulfovibrionales; Desulfovibrionaceae
Description: Desulfovibrio gigas DSM 1382 = ATCC 19364 Bacterial RNase P class A
Rfam family: Bacterial RNase P class A
About the family: Ribonuclease P (RNase P) is a ubiquitous endoribonuclease, found in archaea, bacteria and eukarya as well as chloroplasts and mitochondria. Its best characterised activity is the generation of mature 5'-ends of tRNAs by cleaving the 5'-leader elements of precursor-tRNAs. Cellular RNase Ps are ribonucleoproteins.
Source: Rfam by way of RNAcentral
GGAGUCGGACGGGUUGUCGCCGCGAGGGAUUCCUUCGGGAACACCUCGGGGAGGAAAGUCCGGGCUCCACAGGGCAGAACGCUGGGUAACCCCCAGAGGGAGCGAUCCCUGGACAGCGCCACAGAAAGCAAACCGCCCGCCAUGUGCGGGUAAGGGUGAAACGGUGGGGUAAGAGCCCACCAGACGUCGCGGUGACGCGGCGUGCUCGGUAAGCCCCGUUCGGAGCAAGACCAAAUAGGGGGACGCUUGAGGCUGGCCCGGCCGAAGUCCCCGGGUAGGUUGCUUGAGGCGCGUCGUGAGGCGCGUCCUAGAGGAAUGACGACCACCCCCGCCUCCUUCGGGAAGGCGAGGGAACAGAACCCGGCUUACAGGCCGGCUCCCCUU